AGUGAACGCUGGCGGUAGGCCUAACACAUGCAAGUCGAACGGCAGCUCAGUAAGAGCUUGCUCUUACGGGUGGCGAGUGGCGGACGGGUGAGGAAUACAUCGGAAUCUACUUUUUCGUGGGGGAUAACGUAGGGAAACUUACGCUAAUACCGCAUACGACCUACGGGUGAAAGCAGGGGAUCUUCGGACCUUGCGCGAUUGAAUGAGCCGAUGUCGGAUUAGCUAGUUGGCGGGGUAAAGGCCCACCAAGGCGACGAUCCGUAGCUGGUCUGAGAGGAUGAUCAGCCACACUGGAACUGAGACACGGUCCAGACUCCUACGGGAGGCAGCAGUGGGGAAUAUUGGACAAUGGGCGCAAGCCUGAUCCAGCCAUACCGCGUGGGUGAAGAAGGCCUUCGGGUUGUAAAGCCCUUUUGUUGGGAAAGAAGAGCAGCAGGUUAAUACCCCGCUGUUCUGACGGUACCCAAAGAAUAAGCACCGGCUAACUUCGUG
RNAcentral lists this ribosomal RNA (492 nucleotides) under uncultured bacterium. Its description in RNAcentral is "partial 16S ribosomal RNA". It matches the Rfam family "Bacterial small subunit ribosomal RNA", at positions 29 to 507 of the family's 1533-position model. The record is from RNAcentral.